AUGACUUUAUUUGAUGAUAAUCCCACUAUUUUGGAAGAGUGUCAACUUUGCAUGCAUGUGGAUCAUAUACAGGAUAUGUUAUGUGAUAGCUAUAUUGUUGAAUUUGAAUAUGAUCCCACAUGUAAUUAUUAUGAGAGAGGGAAAUAUGGUUGUAGAAAUUUUCGUGUUACUAAAUUACCUCUUGUUAUGUUGAGACUGUCAAUGUUUUAUUCUUCUACCUUGCAUAUGCUAGUUUUUGCUUGCCUUCAUAUUUUGUUUUAUUAUAAAAUGCCUAUGCGUAGGAAGUAUGUUAUACAUAAAUAUGUUUGUAACAUGUUUUGUGAUGCUCUCUGUGUGCUUCAAUUCUUGUCUUUUAAUGUGAGCAUCAUUAAAAUUAUCAAUGCCUAG
This 387-nucleotide ribosomal RNA is filed under the name Triticum aestivum (bread wheat). RNAcentral describes it as "partial small subunit ribosomal RNA". Lineage: Eukaryota; Viridiplantae; Streptophyta; Magnoliopsida; Poales; Poaceae. The record is from RNAcentral.